This 1181-nucleotide long non-coding RNA is filed under the name Sus scrofa (pig). RNAcentral describes it as "lncRNA (ENSSSCG00015011323.1)". Lineage: Eukaryota; Metazoa; Chordata; Mammalia; Artiodactyla; Suidae. The record is from RNAcentral.
UUUUUUUUUUUUUUUUGGUCUUUUUAGGACCGCACCCACAGCACAUGGAGGUUCCCAGGCUAGGGGUCUAAUUGGAGCUGUAGCCGCCUGCCUACACCAGAGCCACAGAAACGCGGGAUCUGAGCCACGUCUGUGACCUACACCUCAACUCACGGCAACACCGGAUCCUUAACCCACUGAGCGAGGCCAGGGAUCGAACCUGCAACCUCAUGGUUCUUAGAUUCAUUUCCACUGCACCAAGAUGGGAACUCCCUGGUUUGUUUUUUUUUUAAAUAGUGUUCUUUCGACCCAUCAGAUUGGUAGGUAGGUGAUUUAUAUUAGUUAUACGCAGGCCUAGCAGGAAUGUGGAAACUUAGCAGCCUCAGUGGCUGUCAGUGGGAAGGUAAAUUGAACAGGCAUUUUAGAGAGCUGACUAUGUGACAGCUGUUAGGAUGGAUGCACUCUGACCUAAUAAUUGAUUUCUUAAAAAUUAGCCAAAGAAGAUUCCUGGAUAAAUAAAGUGCUGUUUGCAAUUUUGAAAAAAAAAAAGGAUAUAUCCUACCUGUUCUUAAAAAUCAAAUUGAUUAAAUAAAUUAGGGGACCUCCACACGGUAGAAUUAUAGGCUACCAUUAUGAAGGAUGAGGUGAUCUCGAAAUGACUAAUGUGGAAAUGCUCGUGAUAUGCUGUCAAAUGAAAACCCAGAUUAAAAAAUAAUAUGAUUGAUGUGGUCACAUUUUUACUAGAAUAUGCAUAAUUAAUACACAGUAUGACAUAGGAAUAUCAAGACAGAGAUGAAAUUAUCUUCAAGAUUAAAUGAUCAGUUGUUAGUUCAAGAGGUGGGUGUAUCUGAAGACAUUCUGCUCUUUUGUUCUUUGUUUGUUUGUUUGUUUUGUUUUGGUCUUUUCAGGGCCACACCCACAGCAUGUGGACGUUCCCAGAAAUAGCAAAAAAAAACAAAAAAAAGAAAGAAAGAGGCUACAGGUAAACCCAGCUGGGGAUGCGAGACGAACUGGCAGCGCUAACGUUAGGAAAACCCCACCAAACCGGGAUGUGUCGGUCACCUUGGCAGGAGGGAGAGAGAUGGUUUGAGAACCUAGAGGAGCUUCCCAAACCCUAUUCUUCAGCAAGAGAACGAUCCGCUAGUUAGCAAGAAAGAUGCAUCCCAAUCCCAGCCCUGCUCUUAAAUAGCUUUGGGAUGUUC